UACGAGGGGAGCGAGCGUUGUUCGGAAUCACUGGGCGUAAAGCGCGCGUAGGCGGUUUUGUAAGUCAGAAGUGAAAGCCUAGGGCUCAACCUUAGAAUUGCUUUUGAGACUGCAAAGCUAGAGUAUUGGAGAGGUUAGUGGAAUUCCGAGUGUAGAGGUGAAAUUCGCAGAUAUUCGGAGGAACACCAGUGGCGAAGGCGACUAACUGGACAAUUACUGACGCUGAGGCACGAAAGCGUGGGGAUCAAACAGG
This 253-nucleotide ribosomal RNA is filed under the name uncultured bacterium. RNAcentral describes it as "partial 16S ribosomal RNA". It matches the Rfam family "Bacterial small subunit ribosomal RNA", at positions 524 to 776 of the family's 1533-position model. The record is from RNAcentral.